AGCGAACGCUGGCGGCAUGCCUAACACAUGCAAGUCGAGCGCUCCCAGCAAUGGGGGAGCGGCGGACGGGUGAGUAACGCGUAGGAACGUAUCCUGAGGUGGGGGAUAACCCUGGGAAACUAGGGCUAAUACCGCAUGAUGGCGAGAGCCCAAAGAUUUAUCGCCUUGGGAGCGGCCUGCGUCUGAUUAGCUUGUUGGUGGGGUAACGGCCUACCAAGGCGAUGAUCAGUAGCUGGUCUGAGAAGAUGAUCAGCCACACUGGGACUGAGACACGGCCCAGACUCCUACGGGAGGCAGCAGUGGGGAAUAUUGGACAAUGGGCGAAAGCCUGAUCCAGCAAUGCCGCGUGGAUGAAGAAGGUCUUCGGAUUGUAAAGUCCUUUCGGCGGGGACGAUGAUGACGGUACCCGCAGAAGAAGCCCCGGCUAACUUCGUGCCAGCAGCCGCGGUAAGGCACGACUGU
Molecule: ribosomal RNA, 462 nt
Filed under: uncultured bacterium
Lineage: Bacteria
Description: bacterial SSU rRNA
Rfam family: Bacterial small subunit ribosomal RNA
Source: RNAcentral